This 693-nucleotide ribosomal RNA is filed under the name Triticum aestivum (bread wheat). RNAcentral's name for it is "partial small subunit ribosomal RNA". The record is from RNAcentral. Lineage: Eukaryota; Viridiplantae; Streptophyta; Magnoliopsida; Poales; Poaceae.
AUGGACACCUCUUCUCAUGAUGAGUUUGUCCUCGUGGCGGUGACACUAUGGUCGAUCUGGCAUGCAAGACGCAAGGCCAUCCACGAGUCAAUCUUUCAGAGCCCCCAUGCUACUCAUGGAUUCAUCACGAGCUUUAUUUCUGAGCUGGGAGCUCUCAAUGGCAACCAAGAGCAAACAAGGGCGAGCAGGACGCGUUCAAUGCAAAGAACCACGCAACCAAAGAAGCCACCUCGGGGUUACUGCAAAAUUCAUGUUGACGCUGGAGUUCGAGGGAGAACAGGAGGUUCUGCCGCGGCAAUAUGCAGGGACGAAGGGGGAAAUUUUCUCGGUAGCUCGGCGCUGGUGAUUGAUGGAGUUACUGAUCCGGCUACCUUGGAAGCAAUGGCUUGUCGGGAGGCACUAGCCCUCGCCGAAGAUUUGGGUAUCCACCAGUUUAUAGUGGCGUCGGAUUGCCAACAGGUGGUCUCUGAUAUUACAAGGAGGGCCCGGGGACAAUAUGGAGCUAUCAUUAGCGAGAUAAAUUUGAAAGUUUCUCUUUUUCAAUGUUCUUUUACUUUCGAGAGUCGUGCUGUUAACUAUGAAGCACAUAGAUUAGCUAAGUUUUGUUUGAGUAGGGGUCCAGGACGCCAUGUCUGGCUAGGUGCUCCACAUAACCCUAGAUGUAUCCCACUUCAUGUGGAAUUCCAUGAAUAA